GGGUUGUGAGGUUAAGCGACUAAGCGUACACGGUGGAUGCCCUGGCAGUCAGAGGCGAUGAAGGACGUGCUAAUCUGCGAUAAGCGUCGGUAAGGUGAUAUGAACCGUUAUAACCGGCGAUUUCCGAAUGGGGAAACCCAGUGUGAUUCGUCACACUAUCAUUAACUGAAUCCAUAGGUUAAUGAGGCGAACCGGGGGAACUGAAACAUCUAAGUACCCCGAGGAAAAGAAAUCAACCGAGAUUCCCCCAGUAGCGGCGAGCGAACGGGGAGCAGCCCAGAGCCUGAAUCAGUGUGUGUGUUAGUGGAAGCGUCUGGAAAGGCGUGCGAUACAGGGUGACAGCCCCGUACACAAAAAUGCACAUACUGUGAGCUCGAUGAGUAGGGCGGGACACGUGGUAUCCUGUCUGAAUAUGGGGGGACCAUCCUCCAAGGCUAAAUACUCCUGACUGACCGAUAGUGAACCAGUACCGUGAGGGAAAGGCGAAAAGAACCCCGGCGAGGGGAGUGAAAAAGAACCUGAAACCGUGUACGUACAAGCAGUGGGAGCCUCUUAAUGGGGUGACUGCGUACCUUUUGUAUAAUGGGUCAGCGACUUAUAUUCUGUAGCAAGGUUAACCGAAUAGGGGAGCCGAAGGGAAACCGAGUCUUAACUGGGCGUUAAGUUGCAGGGUAUAGACCCGAAACCCGGUGAUCUAGCCAUGGGCAGGUUGAAGGUUGGGUAACACUAACUGGAGGACCGAACCGACUAAUGUUGAAAAAUUAGCGGAUGACUUGUGGCUGGGGGUGAAAGGCCAAUCAAACCGGGAGAUAGCUGGUUCUCCCCGAAAGCUAUUUAGGUAGCGCCUCGUGAAUUCAUCUCCGGGGGUAGAGCACUGUUUCGGCAAGGGGGUCAUCCCGACUUACCAACCCGAUGCAAACUGCGAAUACCGGAGAAUGUUAUCACGGGAGACACACGGCGGGUGCUAACGUCCGUCGUGAAGAGGGAAACAACCCAGACCGCCAGCUAAGGUCCCAAAGUCAUGGUUAAGUGGGAAACGAUGUGGGAAGGCCCAGACAGCCAGGAUGUUGGCUUAGAAGCAGCCAUCAUUUAAAGAAAGCGUAAUAGCUCACUGGUCGAGUCGGCCUGCGCGGAAGAUGUAACGGGGCUAAACCAUG
This 1157-nucleotide ribosomal RNA is filed under the name Escherichia coli. Its description in RNAcentral is "partial 23S ribosomal RNA". It matches the Rfam family "Bacterial large subunit ribosomal RNA", at positions 1 to 1191 of the family's 2925-position model. The record is from RNAcentral. Lineage: Bacteria; Pseudomonadati; Pseudomonadota; Gammaproteobacteria; Enterobacterales; Enterobacteriaceae.